This 737-nucleotide ribosomal RNA is filed under the name uncultured bacterium. RNAcentral describes it as "bacterial SSU rRNA". It matches the Rfam family "Bacterial small subunit ribosomal RNA", at positions 771 to 1501 of the family's 1533-position model. The record is from RNAcentral.
AACAGGAUUAGAUACCCUGGUAGUCCACGCUGUAAACGGUGGGUACUAGGUGUGGGGUCCAUUCCACGGAUUCUGUGCCGUAGCUAACGCAUUAAGUACCCCGCCUGGGGAGUACGGCCGCAAGGCUAAAACUCAAAGGAAUUGACGGGGCCCCGUACAAGCGGCGGAGCAUGCGGAUUAAUUCGAUGCAACGCGAAGAACCUUACCUGGGUUUGACAUGGAUCGGAAGCUUCCAGAGAUGGUUGUGCCUCCUUUGGGGUCGGUUCACAGGCGGUGCAUGGCUGUCGUCAGCUCGUGUCGUGAGAUGUUGGGUUAAGUCCCGCAACGAGCGCAACCCUCGUCCACUGUUGCCAGCAAUUCGGUUGGGGACUCAGUGGAGACCGCCGGGGUCAACUCGGAGGAAGGUGGGGAUGACGUCAAGUCAUCAUGCCCCUUAUGUCCAGGGCUUCACGCAUGCUACAAUGGCCGGUACAGUGAGUUGCGACAUCGUAAGGUGGAGCGAAUCUCAAAAAGCCGGCCUCAGUUCGGAUUGGGGUCUGCAACUCGACCUCAUGAAGUCGGAGUCGCUAGUAAUCGCAGAUCAGCAACGCUGCGGUGAAUACGUUCCCGGGGCUUGUACACACCGCCCGUCAAGUCAUGAAAGUCGGUAACACUCGAAGCCGGUGGCCUAACACUUUUUGUGGGGGAGCUGUCUAAGGUGGGACUGGUGAUUAGGACUAAGUCGUAACAAGGUAACC